AUGGCGGUGCCGCGGCCGUCGUGGUCGCGGUCGGUCACAGAGACCGUGCGGGGAUCGCACCAGUACACGGUCAAGGGAUUCUCCCUCGCCAAGGGCAUCGGUCCCGGCCGGCACCUCUCCAGUGACACCUUCGCCGUCGGCGGCUACGACUGGGCCGUCUACCUCUACCCGGACGGGAAGAACCACGAGGACAACGCCAGCUACGUCUCCGUGUUUGUCGCCCUCGCCUCCGAGGGUACCGACGUCCGCGCCCUCUUCGAGCUUACCCUCCUCGACCAGUCCGGCCGCGCCCGCCACAAGGUCCACUCCCAUUUCGACCGAUCCAUGCAGGCCGGACCAUACACCCUCAAGUACAGAGGAUCCAUGUGGGGUUACAAGAGAUUCUACAGAAGGACCCAGUUAGAAGCAUCAGAUUUUUUAAAGGAUGAUUGCCUAGUAAUGAACUGCACAGUAGGUGUCGUCAAGAACCGUCUCGAAACACCAAAGAAUAUCCAGAUUAAUGUCCCCCCAUCGGAUAUUGGCCGUUGCUUCAAGGAGCUCUUCGAACUCCACAUUGGCUGUGACAUAACUUUUGAAGUAGGUGAUGAGAAAGUCCAGGCACAUAAAUGGAUUCUUGCCGCUCGCUCCCCGGUGUUCAAAGCCCAAUUCUUUGGACCUAUUGGUAAACCUGACAUGGACAGAGUUGUUGUGGAGGAUGUUGAACCUAUCGUCUUCAAGGCAAUGGUCAAUUUCAUAUAUUCUGAUGAGCUCCCUAGUAUUCAUGAAGUAGCUGGAUCUUUCUCAAUGUGGACAUCUACUGUGGUAACACAACAUCUGUUGGCAGCAGCUGAUAGAUAUGGGUUGGACCGGCUACGAAUCCUAUGUGAGGCAAAGUUAUGUGAUGAACUCACUUCUGAAACAGUAGCGACAACCUUAGCCCUAGCUGAACAGCACCACUGUGCUCAGCUCAAGUCUGCCUGUCUAAAAUUCACUGCCGUUCGACAAAAUCUGGGAGCUGUGAUGGAGACAGAAGGGUUUAAUUACCUGGAGGAGACUUGCCCAUCCUUGCUGUCUGAUUUGUUAGCAACCGUCGCAGUAGUGGAUGAUGAUCCUUCAUCUGUUAACCGGAAAAGGGGAGUUUGUAUCAACGAAGAUGUGAAUCCCGUUGAAAGCGUUGAGGCUAGUGACAGGCGCACCCGCAGGAGGGUUUAG
This 1191-nucleotide ribosomal RNA is filed under the name Triticum aestivum (bread wheat). Its description in RNAcentral is "partial small subunit ribosomal RNA". Lineage: Eukaryota; Viridiplantae; Streptophyta; Magnoliopsida; Poales; Poaceae. The record is from RNAcentral.